Molecule: ribosomal RNA, 427 nt
Filed under: uncultured bacterium
Lineage: Bacteria
Description: bacterial SSU rRNA
Rfam family: Bacterial small subunit ribosomal RNA
Source: RNAcentral
UCGAGAAUUUUUCACAAUGGGCGCAAGCCUGAUGGAGCGACGCCGCGUGGGGGAUGAAUGGCUUCGGCCCGUAAACCCCUGUCAUUUGCGAUCAACCGUUAUUAUUUAAAAGAUGAUAACCUGAUAGUAGCGAAAGAGGAAGGGACGGCUAACUCUGUGCCAGCAGCCGCGGUAAUACAGAGGUCCCAAGCGUUGUUCGGAUUUACUGGGAGUAAAGGGUGCGUAGGUGGCGGUGUAAGUCGGAUGUGAAAUCUCCGAGCUCAACUCGGAAACUGCAUUGGAAACUACAUUGCUCGAGGGUUGGAGGGGGGACUGGAAUACUUGGUGUAGCAGUGAAAUGCGUAGAUAUCAAGUGGGACACCAGUGGCGAAGGCGAGUCCCUGGACAACUCCUGACACUGAGGCACGAAAGCUAGGGGAGCAAACAG